ACGAACGCUGGCGGCGUGCUUAACACAUGCAAGUCGAACGGAAAGGCCCUGCUUUUGUGGGGUGCUCGCGUGGCGAACGGGUGAGUAACGCGUGAGUAACCUGCCCUUGACUUUGGGAUAACUUCAGGAAACUGGGGCUAAUACCGGAUAGGAGCUCCUGCUGCAUGGUGGGGGUUGGAAAGUUUCGGCGGUUGGGGAUGGACUCGCGGCUUAUCAGCUUGUUGGUGGGGUAGUGGCUUACCAAGGCUUUGACGGGUAGCCGGCCUGAGAGGGUGACCAGCCACAUUGGGACUGAGAUGAGGCCCAGACUCCUACGGGAGGCAGCAGUGGGGAAUAUUGCACAAUGGGCGGAAGCCUGAUGCAGCAACGCCGCGUGCGGGAUGACGGCCUUCGGGUUGUAAACCGCUUUCGCCUGUGACGAAGCGUGAGUGACGGUAAUGGGUAAAGAAGCACCGGCUAAGUACGUG
Molecule: ribosomal RNA, 467 nt
Filed under: uncultured bacterium
Lineage: Bacteria
Description: partial 16S ribosomal RNA
Rfam family: Bacterial small subunit ribosomal RNA
Source: RNAcentral